Molecule: ribosomal RNA, 2927 nt
Filed under: Citrobacter freundii
Lineage: Bacteria; Pseudomonadati; Pseudomonadota; Gammaproteobacteria; Enterobacterales; Enterobacteriaceae
Description: 23S ribosomal RNA
Rfam family: Bacterial large subunit ribosomal RNA
Source: RNAcentral
GGGUUGUGAGGUUAAGCGACUAAGCGUACACGGUGGAUGCCCUGGCAGUCAGAGGCGAUGAAGGACGUGCUAAUCUGCGAUAAGCGUCGGUAAGGUGAUAUGAACCGUUAUAACCGGCGAUUUCCGAAUGGGGAAACCCAGUGUGAUUCGUCACACUAUCAUUACGUGAAUACAUAGCGUAAUGAAGCGAACCGGGGGAACUGAAACAUCUAAGUACCCCGAGGAAAAGAAAUCAACCGAGAUUCCCCCAGUAGCGGCGAGCGAACGGGGAGCAGCCCAGAGUCUGAAUCAGCUUGUGUGUUAGUGGAACGGUCUGGAAAGUCCGACGGUACAGGGUGAUAGUCCCGUACACCAAAAUGCACAGGUUGUGAACUCGAAGAGUAGGGCGGGACACGUGGUAUCCUGUCUGAAUAUGGGGGGACCAUCCUCCAAGGCUAAAUACUCCUGACUGACCGAUAGUGAACCAGUACCGUGAGGGAAAGGCGAAAAGAACCCCGGCGAGGGGAGUGAAAAAGAACCUGAAACCGUGUACGUACAAGCAGUGGGAGCCUCUUUAUGGGGUGACUGCGUACCUUUUGUAUAAUGGGUCAGCGACUUAUAUUCUGUAGCAAGGUUAACCGUAUAGGGGAGCCGAAGGGAAACCGAGUCUUAACUGGGCGUUAAGUUGCAGGGUAUAGACCCGAAACCCGGUGAUCUAGCCAUGGGCAGGUUGAAGGUUGGGUAACACUAACUGGAGGACCGAACCGACUAAUGUUGAAAAAUUAGCGGAUGACUUGUGGCUGGGGGUGAAAGGCCAAUCAAACCGGGAGAUAGCUGGUUCUCCCCGAAAGCUAUUUAGGUAGCGCCUCGUGAAUUCAUCUUCGGGGGUAGAGCACUGUUUCGGCUAGGGGGUCAUCCCGACUUACCAACCCGAUGCAAACUGCGAAUACCGAAGAAUGUUAUCACGGGAGACACACGGCGGGUGCUAACGUCCGUCGUGAAGAGGGAAACAACCCAGACCGCCAGCUAAGGUCCCAAAGUCAUGGUUAAGUGGGAAACGAUGUGGGAAGGCACAGACAGCCAGGAUGUUGGCUUAGAAGCAGCCAUCAUUUAAAGAAAGCGUAAUAGCUCACUGGUCGAGUCGGCCUGCGCGGAAGAUGUAACGGGGCUAAACCAUGCACCGAAGCUGCGGCAGCGACACUAUGUGUUGUUGGGUAGGGGAGCGUUCUGUAAGCCGUUGAAGGUGUAUCGUGAGGUAUGCUGGAGGUAUCAGAAGUGCGAAUGCUGACAUAAGUAACGAUAAUGCGGGUGAAAAACCCGCACGCCGGAAGACCAAGGGUUCCUGUCCAACGUUAAUCGGGGCAGGGUGAGUCGACCCCUAAGGCGAGGCCGAAAGGCGUAGUCGAUGGGAAACAGGUUAAUAUUCCUGUACUUGGUGUUACUGCGAAGGGGGGACGGAGAAGGCUAUGUUAGCCGGGCGACGGUUGUCCCGGUUUAAGCAUGUAGGCGGAGGUUCCAGGUAAAUCCGGUACCUUUUAACGCUGAGGUGUGAUGACGAGGCACUACGGUGCUGAAGUAACAAAUGCCCUGCUUCCAGGAAAAGCCUCUAAGCAUCAGGUAACACGAAAUCGUACCCCAAACCGACACAGGUGGUCAGGUAGAGAAUACCAAGGCGCUUGAGAGAACUCGGGUGAAGGAACUAGGCAAAAUGGUGCCGUAACUUCGGGAGAAGGCACGCUGAUAUGUAGGUGAAGUGAUUUACUCAUGGAGCUGAAAUCAGUCGAAGAUACCAGCUGGCUGCAACUGUUUAUUAAAAACACAGCACUGUGCAAACACGAAAGUGGACGUAUACGGUGUGACGCCUGCCCGGUGCCGGAAGGUUAAUUGAUGGGGUUAUCCGUAAGGAGAAGCUCUUGAUCGAAGCCCCGGUAAACGGCGGCCGUAACUAUAACGGUCCUAAGGUAGCGAAAUUCCUUGUCGGGUAAGUUCCGACCUGCACGAAUGGCGUAAUGAUGGCCAGGCUGUCUCCACCCGAGACUCAGUGAAAUUGAACUCGCUGUGAAGAUGCAGUGUACCCGCGGCAAGACGGAAAGACCCCGUGAACCUUUACUAUAGCUUGACACUGAACACUGGUCCUUGAUGUGUAGGAUAGGUGGGAGGCUUUGAAGUGUGGACGCCAGUCUGCAUGGAGCCAUCCUUGAAAUACCACCCUUUAAUGGCUGGUGUUCUAACGUGGACCCGUAAUCCGGGUUGCGGACAGUGUCUGGUGGGUAGUUUGACUGGGGCGGUCUCCUCCUAAAGAGUAACGGAGGAGCACGAAGGUUAGCUAAUCCUGGUCGGACAUCAGGAGGUUAGUGCAAAGGCAUAAGCUAGCUUGACUGCGAGAGUGACGGCUCGAGCAGGUGCGAAAGCAGGUCUUAGUGAUCCGGUGGUUCUGAAUGGAAGGGCCAUCGCUCAACGGAUAAAAGGUACUCCGGGGAUAACAGGCUGAUACCGCCCAAGAGUUCAUAUCGACGGCGGUGUUUGGCACCUCGAUGUCGGCUCAUCACAUCCUGGGGCUGAAGUAGGUCCCAAGGGUAUGGCUGUUCGCCAUUUAAAGUGGUACGCGAGCUGGGUUUAGAACGUCGUGAGACAGUUCGGUCCCUAUCUGCCGUGGGCGCUGGAGAAUUGAGGGGGGCUGCUCCUAGUACGAGAGGACCGGAGUGGACGCAUCACUGGUGUUCGGGUUGUCAUGCCAAUGGCAUUGCCCGGUAGCUAAAUGCGGAAGAGAUAAGUGCUGAAAGCAUCUAAGCACGAAACUUGCCCCGAGAUGAGUUCUCCCUGAGACUUUAAGUCUCCUGAAGGAACGUUAAAGACGAUGACGUUGAUAGGUCGGGUGUGUAAGUGUAGCGAUACAUUGAGCUAACCGAUACUAAUGAACCGUGAGGCUUAACCUUACAACGCCGAAG